GGAAAGAGCACACACACACGUGCACAGUGGUUACAACUCCCUGUGAAAGAUGGACACCCCACACUGCACCGUUCAUCCAUUGUGCACCUCCGGUUCCUGCCUGCAGGAACAGCUCCAGUGGGAGGCGGCUCUGAACCAAACCCUGCUGCUUUGGUUUUGGUGAACCUGCUCUGAUUUGGGCUCACCGUCCCUGUUGCUCAUGAUCCUGCCUCAGCCAGUUUUUACCUUCUCUUUGGCUACUCUUGGUCACCACAAUUGAAUUCACACAGGUGAAGCCAUCCCGGUCAUCCCUGCCUGUUCCUGUGGAACAGCAUCUCCACUGGCUUCCCUGCCCUCCGUGCUUGGACACAAGACUCUAAAGGCACCUUCUUUACAGUUACGUCCUGCUUCUUCACCCUCCUAUUCAUUUUACAGCCUAUUUCACUCUUCUCACAAUUUUCCAUGAUGAGCUGAUGUGGGAAGAGCACUGUUCUUUUAGUAACCUUGCUCUCCUUAAAUUUCAUGUUUGUGAGUCUUUCCACCAUGACGCUGUAUCUGCAUUUUUGUCAUACACUGUAUGCUGCACACUGCCUUAUCUAUCCUAACGAAGUUCCUGGGGGCAGAGAACCACGUUUCAUCUCUGUACAGAGCUGUGAGACCCCAAUACCGUGCAGGCAGUAAGCUCAGCCCUCUUUUUCCUUCCAGUAUUUCAGUGCACUAGCACAGUGCACACACAACAUGUGAAUUUUGCUUUACCUCCGGGCCCUUGCAGGGAGGGAGCCCGUUCACCCUGAGGCACACGUUGAUGUGCAGGAUGAGUGUGUCUCUCCAGACAGACCCCAUGCUUCUGCAGCCACGGCCACCCCUUUCUCAGUUGUGUUGAUUUACUUUCACAAGGGCAACUUCCCACCAGCACAGCAUCCACAUGGUGGAAAACGCCAUGUGGUAUCAGAAGCAAGCAAGCAUAAAAAAUAACUGCUUUCACUUAUGUAUUAAUUUUAAAAUGGUUCUUUGCUCACAGCCUUACUGAGAAGGCCAACCAGGGCCAGCUUUGUCCAUUAUAAGUUAUUAGAGCUUCAAAAAUCAAUCUGAUGCACACAGCAAUCCAUUCUGCCCACAGUCAGGGAGCAAUUUCACCUCCUCCUCAUCCAAAUUUCCCCACACCAGCUAUUAAGUAAGUGCUUGAGCUUCCAAAAAGAUGAGAACAUUACUGGUCACAUGCCCACUGCUAGCAAGCACAGCUAUUGCCCCCACCAGAGGAGUUGUGGGUGCAGUGUUUCCUGUAAAAAUGAGAAGGGGAUGCCUCUGUUGUGCCAUCAGCUGGAGCGGAGGCAAUGGAAGAUGGUUCAGCUUCCCUUCACACAGAGCUCUGCACAAACAUGUUGUAGCAAUGUUGCUGUCACUUCCCAAACUGUCUCUGGUGAGGUAGGUCUCCCUGCUAAGUCUUCUGCAGGUUCAGUGGCAACAUCCUACUCCCUUCAGAGGGUGGCAGUCAGCAAUUAAGAUACUUGCCCCAUUUGGGGGAUUUUCAGUGAAUCAAGGAGUUCUGCUCUCACUUGUGUUAGACAAGGAGCACCAGCAUCCUGAGCUGGUGAUGCACUAGCACUUUAUACCAGCUUAAUGAAUUUUGAAGGAGCCUUUCUUAACAGAAAUGGUUUCAGCUGUGCGGCCUCCAGGAGUGGAGCAACUCAGCUGCGGGGUUGGCCCUGAAUUUUUGACCUCCCUGCUCCAUACCCUCCAAGCACCUGAUGGGCUGCAGCACAGGUGAAUGUCCUUGCAGCCGCGUUUCAAGCAUCGGAGGCCUGCCUGGUGCAGGUGACAAGCAGUAACUGAGGAGGCAUGGUAGGAAAUUGCACCUGCCCAGGCCUGCAGGGACUCCGUGCACAGUGACAGAGGAGGAGGAGGUGGGUCUUGGUGUGGAGUGGGGCAGCAAGCAGGAGGCUGCCAGCUGCCUUCGGCCUGAGGGUGAGGCAGCUAGCUGCUGAUGGCAUGGCUUCACUCACCUGGGAGAUUGCCACAUGCACGGGGAGCCAGGGGCAAAACAAGGUGCAGCUGAUAGGGGGCGGGAGAAACUCUGAUUGCAAGUUAGCAAAAAAUCUCCCGGCAGGUUUGGGCAGGUGUUGUUUCCUCUUUGAAGGGCUGCUGCUUUACCAGAGAGGAGUGGUGAGCAGCACUUUGCUUGUGGAAGGAGCCCUAUAUUUUCCAAGUCUUUUCCAUAAAAUGACGCUGUGCCACCACAGCUCUGUCUGCAGAAAUAUUUCAAAGCUAAAUGUUAAUGAGCAGAAGGCUCUGGUCUCUCAGCGAGGAAGUGCUGAUGUAUGAAUGGCAGGUCCAUUGGUAUUUGGUGUCCUCAAUAAAGACCUCAAUGACUAUGACUGCAGGCUGCCUGUCAACUGGCAGAUAACACCAAGAUGCGAGGAGUGGCUGGGAUAUGCUGGAAGGCAGGGCUGGAAUUCCAAGGGGUCCUCACGGACUGUAGCAGGGUCUUGACAAAAACAGGAUGUAACUGACAGGGGCAUGCGAAAGGUACUAAAGUUAGGCAGGAAACAAACAAAUGAACAAAUACCACUGAUAGAGAGCAGGAAUGUUUGGCUGAAAUAAUUCUGCAGAAGAUGAUCUGUGUUACAAGGUAGAUCACCAGAUAAAGUUAGCAAGGCUAUAUUGUUAAUGAAGAAAAAUGCAAACUAGCAUGUAUGACAAGAAAUUUGCAAUAAGUGUGAGUACUGUCUGAUUUUUGGAUACCAGUCUUGAAAGAAAAUGUGGAUAGAUGCCAGGAGGACCCUGACAAUAACAAGCAGAAUGGAGAACACAGACUGUAAGCCCUAAAGAAGACAGUGAGGGAAGGCAGGCUUACAAUGUUCACAUAUGUAAAAAAGAAAAAAAAAAACUGUCAUGCAAAGUAGGGCAUAACCAGAAUGCAAUCUGUUCUUGUACUCAGGAAACCAGAAGAGGGCUUAAAUUUCAUCAGGGAAGAAUCUUACUAGGAAGAACUUUCUAAUAGUGACAAGGCGGAAGCAUUGAUGUAGACUCUUUAGGGAAGUUGUGGAGGAUCCUAGCUUUGGAAGUGUGUAAGAACAGCCUGAAUAAAUGUUAGCUGGGAUAUACAUUAUCCAUACCCUUGUACCAUGCAGUGGUAUGGAUAGAAGACUCCUGAAUUCCUGUCCAGCUCUGCAGUCCCGUUACUGAUUGUGCUGUAACACCCAGGGCAUGAAUGGUCCUUGGUUCUCCCUGACAGCCACCAUUUACUGCAAAUUCCUGUCAGAAGGUCCUGUUGAAGGAUGUUGCUGUUCCCCCAGGCUAGACAUUUGAAUACAUAAGCACUUAAGUAACAGCAGGCAUGAAUGAUUUCUGCCUUUGCUGUGUUUAUGUUCUCAUAUCUCACUCUUUUCUAAUUUUCUAGAGUGCGGUUCUUUAGAAGUGUUCAUUAUUUCUAAAUGAUUCUUAAGCUACUUUAAGGCAAAUUAGUGGUGAUUUAUGCUUUUUUUGGUCACAAAUCCAGUGAUAUAAUACUGAAGUUUCCCUUCAAAGGGACAAACCUUUGGGAAGCAAAGAACUGCAGACAAUUUUUCAUCUGAUCAUCAUAGCUUCUGUUUUGAAAGAGUAUUUGACCUACUGGUUCCUGUAGUUCUUCAAAUUAAUACCAGAGUCUUACUGAAAAUUCUUAGCAAUGGUAAAAUUAAAGUAGUUAAAGCCUAGAUGUCAAGCAAACAAGAAGUGUUUUCUGAAGCUAGAAUCCAUCCUCAGCUGUGGAUCCGCAAAUCUUACUCAACUAAAAUACAGAGAUCUCCAUAUCUCACCUUCUGAUCUCCAUGCCUUUGAUUUUCCCAGCCAGAAGACGUAGGAGCGAAGUCCUAGCAAACCAUUGGUGGAACAAGAGCUCCAGUCAGCUUUUAAUGCCUAGAUCGUUUUGAUUCUGCAGUCUCCAUAAAUGCUUGCUCCUCCUGCAGCCGCAUUAGGAGAGCUGGGAAUCUGUUCCAUUUGUUUUUGCCAAGGCUGUUAUUGUUGAUCUGCCAGGUUAAAUCCCCUGGAGGUUUCCUCUGCUCUGACUUUGUAUUUAUCUAGUGGUCUUUGACCUGCCUUUAUCUUUUAGAAUCAGUACUCAACUGGCCCAGUCUGGUCCAGUCAAUGUGCCUUUAGAUGUCUGACCUUCAGAUCUGCUGUUCCAGUUGCUAUUUAUUCCACCGCCCCUUCCUUGCUGUUUGCUUUUGUCGUGCCUUUCACCUUGCAUUGCUUUACCCUCGCACUGCUGUGCCCUCUCCACAUCGGAUCUUUCCUUCUCUGGCCUUCUGUUGCUAUCAACACCCACCAGAGGAGGAAUCUGGUCUCUUGGGUCAUUUGCACGGGGGAAAAGUACAUGCAAGUGUCUCAGAGAUCAGCAAUAUGGGAUGCUAUGCAGUGAAAUUCAGGUCUUAGUGGAAAGGUGGCUUCUGUAACCCUGGCCAUGACCAGGAAGGUAUUUCUGUGAGUAGGGAGAAGCUUUGAAGGAAGUGCUGGAUCUCAAGCUGCUUCUCUGCUGAGGGGUGAAGCCUCUGCUCGGGGAGGCUCACCGAAUAAACAACUGACAGCGGGAGCGUGAAAUGCAGCUGGAGCAGCUUGGAGGCUCUCAGAUGAAGUCACUGACAGUUGUGCAUGCCACAAUUGCCUCCAGCCUGGCUUACUGCAGUGUGCUCAGUUCGGGAUGAAAGCUAGUGCUUCAUCCUGUGCCACGGCAGGGCCGGCUGACGUGGCUGCCUAACAUCUGUGCGCUGUGCCCUGCGGUGCUGAGCCACAGCUCGCCUCCCGGGACAUGUGGAAGAGCUGACAGCUGCAGAGUCCGCUAUGGGGCGGGGAGCCGGCUGAGGCCACCACCUCGCAUCCUCACACCAUGUAUAAUUGAUAGGGACUGAAAUGGUUUUUGUAUUUCAGCUAGGGAGAGCUCAGGAAAAAAAGAAGACUCUUCCUGGCAAGAAGGAGAGGCUGAACAGGGAGGAACAUUUCCUUCAUUACUAUAAUAACCCCAUCAGGUGUUUUAUCCAGGUCCCGCGUAGCCCAAAGCCCUUCCAUUUUAAUGAUGUUUUGAAACAGAAAGCAGCCUUUAUGGCCUCUGAGGGAGGGAUGGAGAGAACGAGAACGGGCAGAGGCAGAGGAUGCCAAAGUCACUGUUCUUUAACUAACUGAGGAGUGAGAGGUAUUAAUCAAAGCUCUCAAAACUUUAGCGCAUUUUUAAGGAAAAUAAGGAAGAGUGAUUUGUCAGCUACAGAGCCGAAUGAUCCUGGCUACGUCAGGCUGUGUCACCUGGCUGAGCUCCGAUUGCCAAUGCAAGCUGGGCUUAAGCUUUGCCCUUUUGUGUGGUUGGGCUUCUGGUGUCCUUGCCUCUUCCCUGCCCUCUGGUUAUACCGUAUGAACUUGGUACCUUUGAGACAUCUGCCUCUCCAUCAAAUCCAGCUAGUCAACAGGUUUGAAAGUUACCGAGAGUGGACUGACAGGCUGACUACAGGAAAACAUACUCGCUUAUGACUUGUUUCCUUUGGAAAUCAGGCUGAAAAUGAAUAAACUGAAGACCUGAGUAAUGAUUCAGUGUAUUAUUUGCUUGGGAAGGCCAGGGUUUGAAAUGUGCAGGAGCGUAAGCUGGUCCUCUAAGAUGCCUGCUCUUUAAUAAAAGUUGUGGCAAAGUGCUUCAGGUAAAGUUCUCAGAUCGUUCCCAACCCUUCCAUAAACCAGGUCAGUGCAAUGCACUGCUGGGUGGAAGAAUGAGGUAGGACUUUGUCUGAUUUUAAGUAUACGGAGGGGAACCUCUACCCCAGGUAAGGAGCUUGUUUUCAGACACCAGGAGCAUGAGAAUCAUUGUAAUGGAUCAGGCUAAUGAUACAGUUCCUUGUCUCGACUGUGCCUUUUCAAUUAAGCUAGAGGAUACGAAGAUAUACUAAGAAUUAUGUGAUGGCUAAAGAAUUUGUAGUGGGUUCUGCUGACACGCAUAUCAGCUAGAGACCACUAGAAGAAUACUGCAGGAAUUAAUUUCAGAAUUGAACUUGUCUAAUGCUUCUAUUAAUUGCCCUGAUGUAAAAGAAAGAGCGCCUACUUGCGCUGUGAAGUUGGAAGGUAUCCUCAAAAAGGGUAAGGAUGGCAAUGUCAUAUAAAAAGAGCUACAUCACCUGGUGGACAGCGUUAAAUUUAUUUGGGAUGGAAGUCAGUAAUGCAAAACUUACAAUCAUGCUCUUUGGGAUUUAAAGCAAGAAUUUCUGCUGGAAUUUGUGAGCUCAUGAGCUGGAAAUAGCCAAAGAGGAAAAGGAUCUGAAUAUGCUAGUUGGUCACAGGAUGACUGAGUCAUUUAUGUGACAUGGCCGUGGACAGGGAAAUUAAAAUCUGAGAAGUUUAUUCAUAAAUCCAAACCAGUUAGCAGUGGUUCUCAAGCAUGAAAAUGUAAUAUUUGCUUUACAGCUUCUAUCGUAUCUAAUAUAGCAGUGAAUGUGCUGAUUAGUUACGUGUCUAAGCCUUCUUUUCUAACCUUAUUAGGGUCUUUAACUCCAUGAUACCUUCCGGCA
Cygnus olor (mute swan) is the source of this 6500-nucleotide long non-coding RNA. RefSeq lists it as uncharacterized. The transcript is spliced from 2 exons. The record is from RefSeq and is a predicted model, not a curated record. NCBI's taxonomy places the organism in Eukaryota, Metazoa, Chordata, Aves, Anseriformes, Anatidae.